GACGAACGCUGGCGGCGUGCUUAACACAUGCAAGUCGAACGGAAAGGCCCUGCUUGCAGGGUGCUCGAGUGGCGAACGGGUGAGUAACACGUGGGUGAUCUGCCCCUUACUUUUGGAUAAGCCUGGGAAACUGGGUCUAAUACUGGAUAGGACCAUGCGUUAGGUGGUGUGGUGGAAAGAUUAGUUUCGGUAUGGGAUGAGCUCGCGGCGUAUCAGCUUGUUGGGGGGGGAAUGUCGUAACAAGGCGUCGACGGGUAGCCGGCCUGAGAGGGUGGACGGCCACGUUGGGACUGCGACAGGGCGCAGCAUCCUGCGGGAGGCAGCAGUGGGGAAAAGUGCAAAAGGGGAGCACGGCUGAUGCAGCGACGCCGCGUGGGGGGUGAAGGCCUGCGGGUUGUAAAGUCCUUUCAGCUAGGAAGAAGACCUUGUAGUGACGGUAGUGGUAGAAGAAGCACCGGCUAACUACGUG
Molecule: ribosomal RNA, 469 nt
Filed under: uncultured bacterium
Lineage: Bacteria
Description: partial 16S ribosomal RNA
Rfam family: Bacterial small subunit ribosomal RNA
Source: RNAcentral